Molecule: ribosomal RNA, 443 nt
Filed under: uncultured bacterium
Lineage: Bacteria
Description: partial 16S ribosomal RNA
Rfam family: Bacterial small subunit ribosomal RNA
Source: RNAcentral
CCUACGGGUGGCAGCAGUGGGGAAUAUUGGGCAAUGGGCGCAAGCCUGACCCAGCAACGCCGCGUGAAGGAAGAAGGCUUUCGGGUUGUAAACUUCUUUUCUGAGGGACGAAGAAAGUGACGGUACCUCAGGAAUAAGCCACGGCUAACUACGUGCCAGCAGCCGCGGUAAUACGUAGGUGGCAAGCGUUAUCCGGAUUUAUUGGGUGUAAAGGGCGUGUAGGCAGGAAAGCAAGUCAGAUGUGAAAACUCAGGGCUCAACCCUGAGCCUGCAUUUGAAACUGUUUUUCUUGAGUACUGUAGAGGCAGACGGAAUUCCUAGUGUAGCGGUGAAAUGCGUAGAUAUUAGGAGGAACACCAGUGGCGAAGGCGGUCUGCUGGACAGCAACUGACGCUGAGGCGCGAAAGCGUGGGGAGCAAACAGGAUUAGAUACCCUGGUAGUC